RNAcentral lists this ribosomal RNA (495 nucleotides) under uncultured bacterium. RNAcentral's name for it is "bacterial SSU rRNA". It matches the Rfam family "Bacterial small subunit ribosomal RNA", at positions 28 to 515 of the family's 1533-position model. The record is from RNAcentral.
GAUGAACGCUAGCGGCAGGCUUAAUACAUGCAAGUCGUGGGGCAGCAGGUUUGUAGCAAUACAGAUGCUGGCGACCGGCAAACGGGUGCGGAACACGUACAGAACCUUCCUUUGAGCGGGGAAUAGCCCAGAGAAAUUUGGAUUAAUACCCCAUAGUAUAAUGAAGUGGCAUCACUUUAUUAUUAAAGAUUUAUCACUCGAAGAUGGCUGUGCGGCUGAUUAGGUAGUUGGCGGGGUAAAGGCCCACCAAGCCUGCGAUCAGUAACUGGUGUGAGAGCACGACCAGUCACACGGGCACUGAGACACGGGCCCGACUCCUACGGGAGGCAGCAGUAAGGAAUAUUGGUCAAUGGAGGCAACUCUGAACCAGCCAUGCCGCGUGGAGGAUGAAGGUCCUCUGGAUUGUAAACUUCUUUUAUAUGGGAACGAAAAAGGCUUUUCUAAGUCGUCUGACGGUACCAUAUGAAUAAGCACCGCUAACUCCGUGCCAGCACG